Long non-coding RNA from Felis catus (domestic cat), 2348 nucleotides. RefSeq lists it as uncharacterized. The transcript has 3 exons. The record is from RefSeq and is a predicted model, not a curated record. Lineage: Eukaryota; Metazoa; Chordata; Mammalia; Carnivora; Felidae.
AACCUGACAACAGGCCAGAAGGAGGACCCUCUACUUCUGGGCCAGGGCUGACCACAGGUAACUGAAAUCAUAGAAAGCAUAGCUAUGGAUAAGGGGGGAAUGCUGUAAUGAAUAAAUGGUGCCUCUGGUCACUCUUAUUAGAGUUCCAGAAGACAACCUGAAGAAUCCAUAAGAAUAGUGUAAGAUGUAAAGCCCCAGUACUGCAAUCCCAUGAAGAUCAAAGCCAGUUUGCUAUUCUGCAUUAACAUUUCUGUGAUCAGAUAUAACGUGAGCACCUCGAUUCUAUCUGUGUCAAGAUAUCUUCACACAAGUGACUCAUCUGGUAAAAGCUCGGGAACUGAACACUGCUCUGACAACCAUCUCCUUUGAGGUUGAUUCCACGUUGGUGGUGUUACAAGCCAACGUCCUGUUUAGCUGCUUUCCUCUGCAACACAACACUGUAAUUAAAACUGACUAAACAAUAAAUCUCAAUUUCCCUGUUCCAUCAGGAGAAUCUUUCAAUUUACUAGGCUUCGUCUAUUCGCCAGCUCCUCCUCUGCAUUACGAAUCGUUCUUGAACAAGCACACAAGUUAACUACCCACUCUUACGUUGAACGUGCAGAGAUUCAGUGCCAAUUCUGUCAUUAGACAUCCUAGAUCUGCUCCUGGGGGACCUGAGAGGAAACUGGGUGUUAUGCCUGAGUUAAAUAUGUGAAGAGGCUAUCCCCCUCCUCACGCAGGCCCUGUCAGCUCCAGAAAGCACAAACUCAACGGGCUGCCCUUGCAAGGAACAGGCAUCUCUUUGUCCUCCUAAAUACCUCUUGCCGUGACCAAGUUCCAGUUUCCAGAACCCGAAACACCUUUGCCCAAUGAAAACCUUCCUGAACUUUUUACCCAACAACUCACAGACCAUGAAUGGCGUUCCCUCAGGCUCCAAGACAAUCAAGUUAGGGAGACGAUGUAGAAAAAGAACGUGGUAAAAAGAGAUCCAACAAGCUCCCUGAGGCUCAUAAGAAGACACUUUGCCAAAAGAUACACGGACACCAACUAAGGUUUAACGAACUGCUUUCCCUGAUAUCUCAUUUAAUACACCACCUCAUGAACUGGGCAGCGCAGCUACCUCUGCCUCUCUUCUAGAAAUACGGGAUGCUCGUUCAGACAACUUUCUCGCCACAAUCUAAUGUGCCUCACCACUCCUAACCGACAGUCUUACCAGUCAGCUUGCCAGUAACUUGAAGCCUGCAAGUGUAACGGGCCAGCAAUUUGUGCUUUUCAAAGAUUCCAACUGCCAAAAAUAAAUGAGAGCUUAGGACACAGCCACCAUGCUUAAUACCCAAAGACUUGUUUUGUUUGUUUUAUUUUUCAAAGGCUGUGGCUUUGCUGGCUCCUGCUUUAUAUGAUUUCUUAUUAUGCUCUAUGUUGAAUUAUACUUUUAAAUUUUUGGACAAAUCACUGUAACACAGAAGUCUUGUUCAAUUUAACAAGCUGCGGAGAGUGGCAAAUGGGGGCAGGAGGGUUCUCUUGAUGCCAACAAAAUAAGACUGACUUUGAAGUAUCUUGGUCACAUUAACAGCAAAGAGCAUCCUUUUUCUCUUACCAUAAAAGUACCUUGUGAAAAUACUACAGAAUCUGAGACAUACACAAAGUUCAGGAAAGCCUCAUGACCAGUGUACUCACUGCUGGUGUAAAUACAGUGACAGAGAUCACCAACACUACCUUUCCCAACAGUAGACCUUAACAUUUGGUACCUGUAUUGGAACGCACACCAAUCCAGAGCCUUCACAUGUCCAUCAGCUUCCAGUGAUCAGUGGGAAUGAUCAACUGGUGAAGGAAAAGAACUGGAAUGGUCAUUAUAAGCCCUAUUUUCUAAAUAUUAGCUCUGCCACUAUGUCUCAGUUGUUCUCUAUUCUACUAAGGACAAUACAUAUGUGGCAGUGCUCUGGAGAAGACACUUCUGGGUAGCCCUAAACUACUGGUUCUUGCAGUGAGUGGGAAAUACACACACCAACUAAGAGCCAUGCCUUGGCUCCGAAUACCUCUGCAGUGAGCUCAUAGCGAAGCCAGUCCAAGUGUUUGCUAGAAUAAACAAGAGGCCACAGAUGCGAUCUGAGAUGGCUUCCCUCCCUGGGCAAACAACUAGGUGAAUGUGUCAAGACGAGAAGAUGGUGUAAGAGGUAAAGACCAGGAGUAGCCAGACCUCAAAUGUGGAUAAUUUUUGCAUGUGUUCUCACCGACUUCUUUCGGCAUCCAUCUCAACAGAACUUAAGUACGUUUCUAUGAGGUUAUAAAUUGCACCGUUUCCCCCAUUUAGGUACCUGCCCCAAAUCACCAGGAAGAGAUAGAGAACGUGAUAAAGGACUUACACAUUC